AUUUAAAUCAACAGAUUCUCAUAAAUUCGUAAUACUUGUAAAUCAAUAAUGAUUGUACCCGGCUCACCACUGUUUGCACUCGACUUCUAUUCUAUGUCCUACCAUCAACAGUGCAGCGAGUGUGUUCAGACUGUCAUCGAGAUCACAGCCGGCUGCCGGUCAAGUGGCAGCAUGUCGCAGACGCUGGCGCUGUCAUCAGCCGCUCAGUCUUCAGAGUCGUGAGGGGCUCGACGCUAUCACCGAUCUGAUUGUGCAAAAGUAAGCUCUGAAGAAUGUGGUAACCGCAGUCUGAUGAGGUAACAGUGACAUGUUAUCAACCAGCUAAGAAUAGGAGUGUGCUAAAAUUUUAUAAAAAAAUGGCAAGUGAGUACUUCUGACUAUUACAUUAAUAAAAUAUUAUCUGUGACAUUUACAUAAAAAUAUAUACCAUAUAUAUGUUAUAUUGCAAAUAGACAGAACAGAAAGGCUGUUCAUUUCAACAUGUACAUAUAUGUUUGUCUGCCAAGACAUAGUUAUAGAUUAAAGGAUUUUUCUACUAAACUAUUGAACGGGUUAUAUGUUCAUUUGAUUACAUAUCACACAGAUGUGUUUCAGGAGCCAAUGGAAUUAGGCUGAUGAAGUCAUAAGACCAGAAGAUCAUCUUACACCUCUAUACAUGCUUCAUGAUAUUAUUUAUAUGUUUUUAAAUUCUGUAGUAAUUUAUUACUUUCCAGUGAUUUGAAAAUAUAGAAAAUAUCACCAAAAAUUAAGUCUCCUUAUAAUUAAAUAUAGUUUGAUUUUUAUCAUAUAUGAUUUUAAAAUUAACAAGUAAUAAAUAAAAAUAAAAAAAUUCCUUCAAUAGAAAUUUAAAUAUGUACAUAUAUCUGUUUAAAAUAACAAUAUUUCAUUUGAUUUAUAUAUAUAUAAAGCAUAGUCUACUUGAAUAUGAAAAACAAAAAAUAUAUAUUCUUAUUAGAAAUAUUAAGUACUGUGAAAUUUUAAAACAGACUGUGACAAUAAUUCUUUACAAUACACAAU
Long non-coding RNA from Danaus plexippus (monarch butterfly), 1017 nucleotides. RefSeq lists it as uncharacterized. NCBI's taxonomy places the organism in Eukaryota, Metazoa, Arthropoda, Insecta, Lepidoptera, Nymphalidae. The record is from RefSeq and is a predicted model, not a curated record. The transcript is spliced from 3 exons.